Molecule: unclassified non-coding RNA, 307 nt
Filed under: Bombus terrestris (buff-tailed bumblebee)
Lineage: Eukaryota; Metazoa; Arthropoda; Insecta; Hymenoptera; Apidae
Description: misc RNA ENSBTSG00005022172.1
Source: RNAcentral
CGAUAUUAGCAGCACUUACCCUACGUAGCUAUGUAUCUAGAUAUAGUCACAAUGCAGAAUUAUGACGAUGUAGAAAAGUAUUACAAAUCGUAGACAACUUUUUGUUACUUUUCGUUAUCAUUCAUUCAUUAUCGCGCACAAUUUGUUUGGAAAUUUUAUAUCUACAUAUUCUGCCAUUUGAUUAUUUCAUAUAUGUAGUAAGUAGAAUAACGUUCCUUUAAUUCUUUUACUGGCGCAAGAAAAUUGCAUCGAAGAGAUAAAAAUCGAAGUAUAAUUUGUUCACUGGUAAUAUUUAUGUAUUUAUAAG